CCGCGCGAAGGUAGCGUAAUCACUUGUUUUUUAAAUAAAGACUAGUAUGAACGGCCACACGAGGACCUAACUGUCUCCUUUGUCCAAUCAGUGAAACUGAUCUCCUCGUGCAGAAGCGAGGAUUUUACCAUAAGACGAGAAGACCCUAUGGAGCUUUAAACUUUUAUUAAUUAUUUUCUUCACCCCUCUAAGGAGCUAACAACUAAUACAAUUAACUUAAUAAAAGUUUUAGGUUGGGGCGACCAUGGAGAAGAAAAGAUCCUCCCUGAUGAAUUCCUAACCAAGAGCCACAGCUCUAAGUAUUAAGACACUUAACUUCUAUUGACCCAUUUUAUGAUCAACGAACCAAGUUACCCUAGGGAUAACAGCGCAAUCCAUUUCAAGAGUCCCUAUCGAC
RNAcentral lists this ribosomal RNA (397 nucleotides) under Boulenophrys lishuiensis. RNAcentral describes it as "partial 16S ribosomal RNA". It matches the Rfam family "Bacterial large subunit ribosomal RNA", at positions 1946 to 2509 of the family's 2925-position model. The record is from RNAcentral. Lineage: Eukaryota; Metazoa; Chordata; Amphibia; Anura; Megophryidae.